UUAUUUUGAAUUUAUAUUGUGGGUUUGAAUCUAAGAAAUUGUCUGAGAUAUAUAUUCUAGUGUUCCACUAUAGUUUGUGGAUGGAAGGGGUAACAUGGCAUCACGUUCUCUUCUCACUAGCUACAGAUAUUUUUACUAUAGUAAUUGCUGCAUGUACUGUAGAUGUAGCAUAAUAUUAUAAUUUAGGGCUAGUUUAGUAAUAUUUUUAAAAAGUAUUUUUAAAAAAUAUUUUUGAAAAGUUUAGUUUAAGAUUUGAGUAUUUAGCAUCGUUGUCAAAAAAUACUUUUGAGAAAUUAAAUGUUUUUUU
This 307-nucleotide long non-coding RNA is filed under the name Gossypium barbadense (sea-island cotton). Its description in RNAcentral is "long non-coding RNA (GBAR_LNC006896)". The record is from RNAcentral. Lineage: Eukaryota; Viridiplantae; Streptophyta; Magnoliopsida; Malvales; Malvaceae.